This 25-nucleotide non-coding RNA is filed under the name Rattus norvegicus (Norway rat). Lineage: Eukaryota; Metazoa; Chordata; Mammalia; Rodentia; Muridae. The record is from RNAcentral.
UAGUGGCCAAAAAGGUGUCACUGGA